RNAcentral lists this ribosomal RNA (253 nucleotides) under uncultured bacterium. Its description in RNAcentral is "partial 16S ribosomal RNA". It matches the Rfam family "Bacterial small subunit ribosomal RNA", at positions 524 to 776 of the family's 1533-position model. The record is from RNAcentral.
UACGGGGGGGGCAAGCGUUGUUCGGAAUUACUGGGCGUAAAGAGCUCGUAGGCGGUUUGUCGCGUCUGCUGUGAAAACCUCAGGCUCAACCUGGGGCUUGCAGUGGGUACGGGCAGACUAGAGUGCGGUAGGGGUGACUGGAAUUCCUGGUGUAGCGGUGGAAUGCGCAGAUAUCAGGAGGAACACCGAUGGCGAAGGCAGGUCACUGGGCCGCAACUGACGCUGAGGAGCGAAAGCAUGGGGAGCGAACAGG